GUGCUCGCUUCAGCAUCACAUAUACUAAAAUUGGAACAAUAUAGAGAUUAGCAUGGCCCCUGUGCAAAGAUGACUUGCAAAUUCGUGAAGCAUUUCAUAUUUUU
Molecule: small nuclear RNA, 104 nt
Organism: Saimiri boliviensis boliviensis (Bolivian squirrel monkey)
Lineage: Eukaryota; Metazoa; Chordata; Mammalia; Primates; Cebidae
Source: RefSeq, a predicted model, not a curated record